RNAcentral lists this ribosomal RNA (271 nucleotides) under uncultured archaeon. RNAcentral's name for it is "partial 16S ribosomal RNA". It matches the Rfam family "Archaeal small subunit ribosomal RNA", at positions 477 to 747 of the family's 1478-position model. The record is from RNAcentral.
CAGCGCCACGAGUGGCAAUCACGUUUAUUGGGCCUAAAGCGUCCGUAGCCGGUUUAGCAAAUCUUUUGUGAAAUCGUCAGGCUUAACUUGACGGAUUGCAGAAGACACUACUCAACUAGGGACCGGGAGGAGUCAGAAGUAUUCCAGGGGGAUCGGUAAAAUGAUAUAAUCCCUGGAGGACUACCGAUGGCGAAGGCAUCUGACCAGAACGGAUCCGACGGUGAGGGACGAAAGCCAGGGGAGCAAACCGGAUUAGAUACCCGCGUAGUCC